GCAAAAUCAUUUUUGUAAACUGCGGUUCAUGACUUGUUAAUGGGUCAUGAAAUUAAUUUAUGUUUCAUGACCAGCUUUAAAAGCAAAUGGAAUGAUUGGGAGUCAAGAACACUGGGGCUUCCAUAUGAUAAGGAUCACGGUUUCCCGAAGCCUGUGUCACAAGCUGCACUGGGGCUCUCGAGUUUGUGAGACACGCUGGUUCAAGAGUGGGUAGGGGGAGGGCAGCUGUGAAAGGCGCUUGGGCUCUGUCCCCAGGGCAGUGGGAGCCUUUGAAAACCGUAAACAGAGCAGUGAGGUCCAGGCUGCGUUUCAGAGUGAUGCCUGGCCCAGGGUCUGGGCGUUGUGCUGCCGGGUGAGGGUACCGUACAGUCAGGCUCCCAGGAGAGGUUGUCAGCAGCCUGCGGAAGGAGCGGAGGGGCUGGGCGGUGGAGGAGGCCCCCAGGGCGACGCUGCCAAGCCUGGACCUCGGCCCUCAAGUCUUCUCCUACCUGCUCCUUCGGGGGCAGGUCCCUGUCUCCAGCCUCGGUGCAGACUGCCCCCACUGGCCCGUCACAGGGGCUGAUCCCUGACUCCACCCUCAGUGUUUCCAUCUGGGGAGCUCAGCCUCACCUCAGUGAUUCAAACGGGAAGAGAGAGGCUUCUGGCAUCUUGUUUAGACUGACACACUGUUUGGGCUUCCAGCUUCCCUAGAUUCAGAAGUAGCAGAAGAGUGGUGACCAACACUUUGAGAGAAAAUUUCCUUUCAACUAGUAUCAGACAUAAAUGUUGGGCCCCAGAGGGGUGUUCAGAACGUUCUGGGCUGUAAACUAGUCCAUUUUAUCUCAGUGAAGAAUGGGUGCUCUGUGAGCCUCCUCGUCUGGGCAAGGUUUGUGGGGUCUUAGUGGUGCUGGAGGCUGAGGUCAGGGCGAGGAGCAGCCACAGCAAGCCUCCCCCCGCCCCCGUUCCCUCUGGGGCCAGUGAGGGGGGCGUAGACAGAGAGUAACCAGUGGUUCUGCACCUGUGCUCAUGUGGAUGAGAAAUGGGCCACCGUUUAGCCCCUCCUCCUCCCUUUCUCCCCUCCUCCCACGCCCCCCACAGCCCAUUCCCUCUUCCUUCUACACCCCCCAUUCCCCCUACUCCCAUGCCCCCCCAAGCCCCCAUUCUCCUCCUCCUAUGCCCCCAUUCCUUCCUCCUCCCCCACCUCCCCAGGGCCCCCUCCCCACCUAGGAUCGGCCACACCGCCUUCCUGCUCUUCCUGCUGGACGCCCUCCUGCCUUAGAGGCCUUUGUGCCAGCUCUUCCCCCUGCUUAGAACAGGCAUCUGGAUCUUCACAAAGUGUCUUCUCAAAUGUCACUCUUCUUGCAGGUGACCGUCUAGAUACAUUCUCAUCCAACGCUUUUAUUUCUCGCUGGCUCUACUUCUCUUUAUUUGCACGGACCCCUCCCUGAGAUGGCUCACUGGGCAGCUUUGGGUGGCCUUUUCGCCCAUGUAGAGAGCAAGCGCCAUGAAGACGGACUGGGUCUGUCCAUGUCUGCUAGCUCCUGCCCUAGCUCUUGUGCUAGAGGAGUUGCAGGGCGUGUGGCCUGUGGCCAUAUCUGAAGAAUAAAUACUUCUUCAGUGGAUGAGAGCUGCAGCUGGGCCUCACUGAUGGAUAGACUCAUUCAUUCAGGGUUUUUUGUUCUCUGUGAAUUUUCUUAUUUUUUUUACAUGUUAUGGGGAAAUUUUAUGUAUAUAUUUAUUGAAGUUAGUUCAUUUAUAAUAUGUGUUUCAGAUGUAUAACGGUGAUUCACAAUUUUUAAAGGUUACCAUUUAUAGGUAUUAUAGUGGUGGUAUUUCCUGUGCUGUAUAAUACGUCCUUGUAUCUUAUUUAUUCAAUACAUAGUAGUUUGUACCUCUUCUACCCCUAUCUUGCCCCCCCACCAAUAGUAACCACUAGUUUGUUCUCUACAUCUGUGAGUCUAUUUCUUUAUUGUAGUCACUGGUUUGUUAUGUGUUUUAGAUUCCACAUAUAAGCGAUAUCAUACAGUAUUUGUCUCUCUGUUUGGCUUAUUUCACUUAGCAUAAUACCCUCCAAGUCCAUCCAGGUUGUUGCACAUGGCAAAAAACUUCAUUCUUUUUAAAGCCGAGUAACCCUUUUUUGUGUAUGUAUUCCACAUCUUUGUCCAUUCACCUGUUGACAGACAUGUGGGUUGCUUCCAUACCUUGGCAAAAUAACGCUGCUACGAACAUUGGGGUUCAUGUAUCUUUUCCCAUUAGUGUUUUCAUUUUUUCCCCAGAUAUAUACCCAGGAAUUGAAUUGCUGGGUCAUUGGGAAGUGCUGUUUUUAAUUUUUUGAGGACCUUUCAUGCUAUUUUCCACAGAGGCUGCACCAACUUACAUUCCCACCAAGAGUGCACAAAGUUUCCCUUUUUCCACAUCCUUCCCUGUAUCUGCUAUUUGGGGCCAUUCACAUGGUAUUCACUCAGCCAUGUGCCAGGCAUGCUUCUUGCUGGUGGGGGUGGUUUGGGAACCUGGGCUCGUGUCUUAUAGCCGCUUGGAGCGUGACACGGCAUGGUUUGCACCCUGGUGUCUUCAGCUGGAACAAGAACUCACUGCUUAGAAGUACCCUGCCUCCUUGGGGGCUUCCAGGUGGCCUUUAGUGGUUUGUCCUGGGGGACUUUAGGGUCCUACUAAGACCAGGAGGGAAAUUCUUUACACAUAGGCAUUGUGGUUCCAUCAGCAAAUCUAUCCACCAGUUCCAGUCUGGGAAGCGCUCACACCCUAUUCUCUGCCCCUAGACCUUAUGCUGCACCUUCCUCCCAUGCGUUCUCAACCCCUCCCCCCACUGCAUUGAGGAUGACAACCUGUAGUUCGUUUCUUGUUCCCUCUGUCUGCUCAGUUAGAUUUGAAGCCAAAGAGAAUCCCCGGUCAUAAAUUCAGAUGGGUAACAGAUGUUUCUUUUCUGUAAAUCUAAGUCUCCAUCCUACCAAGCAGUUAGAAAUGUGGCCUUGGUCAUUCCUAGGUCCUGCCUCCCCUCUGGGGGGUACCAGGGUGCCAGGUCUCAGGCAGUGCCAGGGGCUGGAAGAGCCCUGGCCAUUGGCCACUGAGAUGCUCAUCCUCCCAGCCACAUGGUCCUCAAGGCCUGUGCUUCUGCUAUGGCCUUGCCACCCUUGGAGCCCCUGAAUCUCAUGUCCCGUGUGCCUUCUGUGUAAGGGUGGCCAUUCUUGCACCUACCAUGGGUAUUUACAAAGAGAAGUAGGAGACCCUGUUCUGCCCUGAAGGACUCGUCUACUUAGCUGCGCACAAAGACCCACAUGUAAAAAAAAAAAAAAAAAAAAAAAAAAAAAA
This 3306-nucleotide long non-coding RNA is filed under the name Sus scrofa (pig). RNAcentral's name for it is "lncRNA (ENSSSCG00065070170.1)". The record is from RNAcentral. Lineage: Eukaryota; Metazoa; Chordata; Mammalia; Artiodactyla; Suidae.